Molecule: ribosomal RNA, 300 nt
Filed under: uncultured Desulfurococcus sp.
Lineage: Archaea; Thermoproteati; Thermoproteota; Thermoprotei; Desulfurococcales; Desulfurococcaceae
Description: bacterial SSU rRNA
Rfam family: Bacterial small subunit ribosomal RNA (bases 52-300)
Source: RNAcentral
GGAAUGACCGGGCGAGAAGGCAAGGGAAGACGUAGGAGGCAAGGCUUAACCGGAAUUAUGGGGCGUAAAGGGGCCGUAGGGGGGUAGGCAAGUCUGCGGGCAAAGACGGGGGCUUAACGCGGGAGAGGCCGUGGAAACUGACGAGCUAGAGGGCAGUAGGGGUAGAGGGAAUUCCCGGUGUAGCGGUGAAAUGCGUAGAGCUCGGGAAGAACAUCGGUGGCGAAAGCGCUCUACUGGACUGCAACUGACACUCAGGGACGAAAGCUAGGGGAGCGAAUGGGAUUAGAUACCCUAGUAGUC